Molecule: long non-coding RNA, 3376 nt
Filed under: Lynx pardinus (Iberian lynx)
Lineage: Eukaryota; Metazoa; Chordata; Mammalia; Carnivora; Felidae
Source: RNAcentral
ACUGGAUCUCAGGCUCCCUGAAUGGAUCUGGUCAGUGAAGUGAGUGAGGGAAGGCUUCACACACUGGCUCUGGGACCCCACUCUUUCCCCAUCCACCUUUGAUCACUCUCUUCUAGAAAGUCCUUGGCUUGGCAAUUGGUUGAUCCCAAGUCUUGGGUCAGAGGGAUGGAUGUGGUAGGUUCUGAAAUGGGGAGAGUCUUUUCAAAACUAUGGGGCCAGAAGCAUUAUGGUACCCACUGACCUGGCCUCGCUCUGUCUGAUGUCCCUUCCCGCCUCCCUCCUGCCCUUCCCUAGCCUCCCAAGCCUCUCUAAUCACAACCACCGGACUCGCUCUGUAUCACCUAAAGUCAUUCCAGGUGCCUCCAGGGACACAGGACCCCACCCCGCCCCCAUUAAGAAUCAUGUCCCCUUGGGGUACCUGGAUGGCUCAGUUGGUUGAGCGUCCAACUUUGGCUCAGGUCGUGAUCUUGCGGUUUGUGAGUUUGAGCCCCGCGUCGGGCUCUGUGCUGACAGCUCAGAGCCUGGAGCCUGCUUCAGAUUCUGUCUCCCUCUCUCUCUGCCUCUCCCCAGCUCACACUUGGCCUCUCUCUGUCUCUCAACUAAAUAAACAUUUUUAAAAAAUGUAAAAAGAAUCAUGCCUCCUUACGAUCUCUCAGUACGUCUCUCUCUAAGGCCUCAAUAAACUGUUUUCCCAAGUCAGACUCAGAGCAUUCUUGGACCAAAUGGCAUGAUCCUCGUCUGAACAAAAACUUCUUCUUUCUUACAUGACUGCCCCAAAAUAUUUGUGCCCCAUUAGGAUUGGAGAAAGAUCUCCUCCAGACAGCCAUCCCAGGGAGCCUGGAGGAACCCUGGUAAAUGUAGCUUUUGCUCACCAGCCCACGUUGCUGUAAGGGCCUCGCUGGAAGAAAUCGUGGCAGGAGUCUCUCCCCGUGGACUAGUCUCUAUAUGGCUCCCCACUCUGCUUUGCUUAUUAUGGAGCCUGCUUCUGCUUCUCCCCAUCUGUGUCCUGAAGGAGUCCCAGCCUGCACGACCCCCCAGUUUGCCGCCCACUGAUUGCUUUCUUGUUUGACCCUUGAUCUUGUAGAUGAGCACAUGCUGAGUCCCCACUCCACGGAGCCCGCAUGAACCUCUGGACCUCUGACCGACCUGCCCACUUCUUUCCUAAAUUUUGACUUCUGAAAAGAUCAACACAGCUAAACCACUUCAACCUGGCAGGGAGAGGCCCCUGCCUUGGCAUAACCCUACCCACUGGAGCCCUGACUUAGCAGAAGUUCUCAUCAUGGGAGAUCCAGGAAAGUCUCUGAAAGAAGAUGCCGAGGUUCCCAGGAACACCUUUCCUGAGUCUGUGCUAUGACUAGGGCAUCUUUGUUUUAUGCACCUACGUGAAGCAGACAUUUUUGGCAAUGCCUUUAUUCUACAGAACGCCAGCUAGGUCUGGGGCUAAGAAAAGCACCAUGUUUAUAUGCCCACUAAUUUUCUCAAUCAUGAGCAAAUUAUUUGCUCCUCGCCCCGUGAAAAAAUGAACUUUCUCUUUUGAGAGUUUGGAGAAAAUAAAAAAGCGAAAUUAACCAGUCAAAGAGAGCUUGGACAAUAAAGUGAACAAAGACAUUUGCUUUCCAAAAGCGUGUUUAAAUAUUUUAUCUAGAAAAAUCUUCCCAAAGUUAUAAAUAGCGCCUAGCUAUGAGUUCCAGCAUCAACCUCGGAGAAGUGCUUCCAGCUUUAUGACUGAGUUUGUGUGCCUGUGGCCAAAUGGAUUUGGAAUGGAAACUUUUUUUUUUUUUGUCAUCUGGCUUAUUGUUGUUUCCUUCUGUGGCCACAGUGUUUGUCUGGGCCAUGGGAUUACUCGAUCAAUCAAAUAUUUAUUGAGUAACCAGACGACCAAUGGAAAAACUAGGCUUGGAUCAUAUUGUACAGAUCAUACUAUGUGUCUUAAAGUCUUAAGGCAGUUGUGCUCACUAAUGGUCAUCUCUUUUUUUGGGAGCUUAGAAAAGGAUCCAUUUGGAAAAAGAGAAGUCUCCAUGCAGAAGCAAAUACCUUCCUCUGACUUUUGGCAAACAAAAUAUUCGCAAAUUCCGUCGCCCUGUUCUAAUAUCUAUUUAUAAAUGUUUCUCUCCAUUCUAGAGGUUUUCUCUGUAAUAUGUGCACCAUGCCAAUGACAUCCUUUAAAGCUGGAAGUUUUCAGAAUUAAAUUCUGGUUUCCUUAAUUUACUAUAGGAAUACGUCCCUAGAGACUGUAAGUCCAACAUAAAUGAUGUGUGUGUCGGAAGGCGAGUAUAUACACCCUUAUGUUUUUUGCUAAAUGGGUGUAGAGUCACGAGUGCUAUUUAUCAAUAUUUCCGCGUCUCCUCUUUUUGGGGAUGUGGAAAGAUGUCAGUCGUCUGCCCACUUGAAGUUAGGGUGGUAGGCCAGCUGACUGCUUCGGCCAGUGAAAUGUGAGCAAAACUGAGAGGUGCCCCUUUUGGGUAGGUGGUCAACUUCUCAUGUUCCCUUCCAUCUUCCAUGAUCAUUGGUAAUGUUCUAGCCGGUAGAGAUUUGAUCAGCAUGCAUCCAGAGGAGAGAAUAAAAUAAAGAAGGGUCCCCCAGUGACCUGAAAUGGACAUGUAGCAAGAGAGGGAAAUAAUGUAUUCUAGGCCAUUGAAAUAUCAGGGUUGUUUUUCCUCUAGCAUAGCUUUGCAUAUGCUGAAUAAUACAAAAAUCGGUCUAUAGAAGUGGGCCACUGCUAUAGCAAAGACCUAAAACAAAUGACCUAAGGGCCAGGUAGGGGGUGGCAAGGACACUACGCCUGCAGUAAUUUGGGACGUACAUUUUACUCCUAAAGCAGGGGCCAGUGAAAACCCAACCCUGCAUCAGGGGACCCAUGAAGGGUAUGGCCAUCAUACUCCUUGUUAACACCCGUCGAUGAAUUAAGGUGUCUUUGAGCAAAGUUCCAUUAAUGGUGUGGGGUCCAAAAAAUCUUCUCACUUGCACAGAAAGGCUUGGGGAAAAGAGACGAAGUACAUACUCAGCUCUCUCAUUGAAGCCUGAUGGCCUCGGGGAGUUGAAAUUAAACUGAUAAACAGAGUCAUGGGAGCAAGAAAGCAAAGAAAUACAGUAAACACGAGAAUUCUGUCUCAAAAAGAACUGUGGCUAUUGCCAUGAGGAGCUGACGGGAAGACGAUACAUGAGAAGCUGUUUUUGACAAAAGAAGUAUUAAUCAGGGGUACCUGGGUGGCUCAGUCGGUUGAACGUCCAACUUCGGCUCAGGUCAUGAUCUCACAGUUUGUGGGCUCAAGCCCUGCAUCAGGCUCUGUGCUGACCACUUGCUCAGAGCCUGGAGCCUGCUUCAGAUUCCGUGUCUCCUCUCUCUGCCUCUCCCCCGCUCACGCUUUGUCUCACU